CCGCCAUGGGCGGCAGCUACACAUGCAGUCGAGCGGUAACAGGAGAAAGCUUGCUUUCUUGCUGACGAGCGGCGGACGGGUGAGUAAUGUAUGGGGAUCUGCCCGAUAGAGGGGGAUAACUACUGGAAACGGUGGCUAAUACCGCAUGACGUCUACGGACCAAAGCAGGGGCUCUUCGGACCUUGCGCUAUCGGAUGAACCCAUAUGGGAUUAGCUAGUAGGUGAGGUAAUGGCUCACCUAGGCGACGAUCUCUAGCUGGUCUGAGAGGAUGAUCAGCCACACUGGGACUGAGACACGGCCCAGACUCCUACGGGAGGCAGCAGUGGGGAAUAUUGCACAAUGGGCGCAAGCCUGAUGCAGCCAUGCCGCGUGUAUGAAGAAGGCCUUAGGGUUGUAAAGUACUUUCAGCGGGGAGGAAGGUGUUAAGAUUAAUACUCUUAGCAAUUGACGUUACCCGCAGAAGAAGCACCGGCUAACUCUGUGCAGCAGCCGCAA
Molecule: ribosomal RNA, 496 nt
Filed under: Proteus mirabilis
Lineage: Bacteria; Pseudomonadati; Pseudomonadota; Gammaproteobacteria; Enterobacterales; Morganellaceae
Description: bacterial SSU rRNA
Rfam family: Bacterial small subunit ribosomal RNA
Source: RNAcentral